GCUGGGUGCUGUGGUGCAUUCUUGUAAUCCCAGCUACUUGGGAGGCUGAGGCAAGAGGAUCACUGAGGCCAUGAGUUUGAGACCAACCAGGACAACACAGUGAGACCUGUCUUAA
RNAcentral lists this small RNA (115 nucleotides) under Marmota monax (woodchuck). The record is from RNAcentral. Lineage: Eukaryota; Metazoa; Chordata; Mammalia; Rodentia; Sciuridae.